GAAAUAACAUAAAACAUUUUGUGCACACUGAAUAGCGCGCGUAGCGGGUUAUUAAACAGUGUGCACCACAUUUUUUAUGUUAUUUCGAAUAGACAGAAAAAGUAUUACAGUCAUUUCUUAUAAUUUAAUUCUAAAUUCCAUUUUAAACCGUAGAAAACCAUGAAAAAACGUUGAUGACGUCACGGUCACAUGACUAAAUUAUGUCUAUGGGUUCAUAACAAAAUAACGUCAGCCAAUCAGAAGACGCGUUACAUCCA
This 257-nucleotide long non-coding RNA is filed under the name Mytilus galloprovincialis (Mediterranean mussel). The record is from RNAcentral. Lineage: Eukaryota; Metazoa; Mollusca; Bivalvia; Mytilida; Mytilidae.